GUCCAGGAGAGUCAGUGAAUCACAUGUUUAUUGUACUAAUACCACCCUUUUUCUUCUUUAUAUUAAUUUACGUUUUUACCCCUCGCUGAUAUUUUGACAGCAAGGAUGGUGUGAUAGUGUUGGAUCUGUUGAAGAAAUUCUACUGGCAAGAAAGUCAUUGCUACCAUAUUCAAGAAAACAAUUGGUAUGCCAAAGAAGAGCAAGAACAUGGCAUUAAGAAUCAGUUAAAAUCUACUGGCAAGAAAGUCAUUGCUUCAAAUCUUCAUUCCGAUUUAGCAAAUGAGAAAGUGGCCCAAUCUCAAUCUGACGGCUUUGAUUCUCCUCCUAUCAAGUCAACUACCAUUCAAGAAGUUCCUGCUUUGUUGUCUGUCAAGUAAAAGCCCAAGUCAAAACCAGUAAAGGAUUCGAUUCAGUCAAGAUCUCAUAGCAAUCCCAAAGAGAGGUCCACAAGUUUGGGUAAUCAGGGAAAGAAACGACUAUCACUUCCGAGUAACGGCAAAAUAGGGAAAGGUGUUGGGAGCUCAAAUAGCAAGGUUCACAACCGACAAAAGCCAAUUAAGAUAUUUUUCAAGUCAAAUGGAAGUCAACAAGAUCAUAUAAACAGUUGAUGGAUGCUUGUAUAUACAUGAGUUAUUUAGCGCAUCAAGUUGCAACCGAAUUGCUGAGAUGUUUUCUCAAUAAUUAUUACAAUGUUCUUUAGUAAUGUUGUGUCUGUCGGAUGGUGUGUCAUUACUUUGUAACUACCAAUGUGUAUGUUGUAUUACCGGACAUUUGUUUGGGUACCAGAUGAGAUGGACAUCAAGCACUAAAGUGGGUGCUUGGUGUAUGUUGAUGAAGUUCAUUUGUAGUUUUGAGUU
Helianthus annuus (common sunflower) is the source of this 857-nucleotide long non-coding RNA. RefSeq lists it as uncharacterized. The transcript has 2 exons. The record is from RefSeq and is a predicted model, not a curated record. Lineage: Eukaryota; Viridiplantae; Streptophyta; Magnoliopsida; Asterales; Asteraceae.